RNAcentral lists this ribosomal RNA (507 nucleotides) under uncultured Glomeraceae. RNAcentral's name for it is "SSU rRNA". It matches the Rfam family "Eukaryotic small subunit ribosomal RNA", at positions 569 to 1078 of the family's 1831-position model. Lineage: Eukaryota; Fungi; Glomeromycota; Glomeromycetes; Glomerales; Glomeraceae. The record is from RNAcentral.
AGCAGCCGCGGUAAUUCCAGCUCCAAUAGCGUAUAUUAAAGUUGUUGCAGUUAAAAAGCUCGUAGUUGAAUUUCGAGACCGGUUUAUUGGUCGUGCUUUUGUACGUACUGGUAUUAUUGGUUUCUCCUUUCUGACGAAUCUUAAUGCCAUUAAUUUGGUGUUUUGGGGAAUCAGGACUGUUACUUUGAAAAAUUAGAGUGUUUAAAGCAAGGCUCACGCUUGAAUACAUUAGCAUGGAAUAACGGAAUAGGACGUUUGAUUCUAUUUUGUUGGUUUCUAGGAUCGACGUAAUGAUUAAUAGGGAUAGUUGGGGGCAUUAGUAUUCAAUUGUCAGAGGUGAAAUUCUUGGAUUUAUUGAAGACUAACUACUGCGAAAGCAUUUGCCAAGGAUGUUUUCAUUAAUCAAGAACGAAAGUUAGGGGAUCGAAGACGAUCAGAUACCGCCGUAGUCUUAACCAUAAACUAUGCCGACUAGGGAUCGGAUGAUGUUAAUUUUUUAAUGACUCA